ACUACGGGUGGCAGCAGUGAGGAAUAUUGGUCAAUGGGCGCGAGCCUGAACCCGCCAAGUAGCGUGAAGGAUGACUGUCCUACGGGUUGUAAACUUCUUUUAUAAAGGAAUAAAGUGAGGCACGUGUGCCUCUUUGUAUGUACUUUAUGAAUAAGGAUCGGCUAACUCCGUGCCAGCAGCCGCGGUAAUACGGAGGAUCCGAGCGUUAUCCGGAUUUAUUGGGUUUAAAGGGAGCGUAGAUGGUUUGUUAAGUCAGUUGUGAAAGUUUGCGGCUCAACAGUAAAAUUGCAAUUGAUACUGGCAGUCUUGAGUACAGUUGAGGUAGGCGGAAUUCGUGGUGUAGCAGUGAAAUGCGUAGAUAUCACGAAGAACUCCGAUUGCGAAGGCAGCUUACUAAACUGCCACUGACAUUGAUGCUCGAAAGUGUGGGUAUCAAACAGGAUUAGAUACCCCUGUAGUC
RNAcentral lists this ribosomal RNA (460 nucleotides) under uncultured bacterium. Its description in RNAcentral is "partial 16S ribosomal RNA". It matches the Rfam family "Bacterial small subunit ribosomal RNA", at positions 338 to 795 of the family's 1533-position model. The record is from RNAcentral.